This 460-nucleotide ribosomal RNA is filed under the name uncultured bacterium. Its description in RNAcentral is "partial 16S ribosomal RNA". It matches the Rfam family "Bacterial small subunit ribosomal RNA", at positions 338 to 795 of the family's 1533-position model. The record is from RNAcentral.
CCUACGGGAGGCAGCAGUGAGGAAUAUUGGUCAAUGGACGAGAGUCUGAACCAGCCAAGUAGCGUGAAGGAUGACUUCCCUAUGGGUUGUAAACUUCUUUUAUAUGGGAAUAAAAUGUUCCACGUGUGGGAUUUUGUAUGUACCUUAUGAAUAAGGAUCGGCUAACUCCGUGCCAGCAGCCGCGGUAAUACGGAGGAUCCGAGCGUUAUCCGGAUUUAUUGGGUUUAAAGGGAGCGUAGAUGGAUUGUUAAGUCAGUUGUGAAAGUUUGCGGCUCAACCGUAAAAUUGCAGUUGAAACUGGCAGUCUUGAGUACAGUAGAGGUGGGCGGAAUUCGUGGUGUAGCGGUGAAAUGCUUAGAUAUCACGAAGAACCCCGAUUGCGAAGGCAGCUUACUAGACUGCGACUGACACUGAGGCUCGAAAGUGUGGGUAUCAAACAGGAUUAGAUACCCGAGUAGUC